RNAcentral lists this ribosomal RNA (253 nucleotides) under uncultured bacterium. RNAcentral describes it as "partial 16S ribosomal RNA". It matches the Rfam family "Bacterial small subunit ribosomal RNA", at positions 524 to 776 of the family's 1533-position model. The record is from RNAcentral.
UACGUAGGUCCCGGGCGUUGUCCGGAUUUAUUGGGCGUAAAGGGAGCGUAGGCGGCCUGCCAAGUCUGAUGUGAAAUACCGGGGCUCAACCCCGGGGCUGCAUUGGAAACUGGCAGGCUGGAGUGCCGGAGAGGCAGGCGGAAUUCCUAGUGUAGCGGUGAAAUGCGUAGAUAUUAGGAGGAACACCAGUGGCGAAGGCGGCCUGCUGGACGGUGACUGACGCUGAGGCUCGAAAGCGUGGGGAGCAAACAGG